GGUCCCGUAGCUCAGCUGGAUAGAGCAUCACAUUCCUAAUGUGGGGGUCACAAGUUCGAAUCUUGUCGGGAUCACCA
This 77-nucleotide transfer RNA is filed under the name Rhodospirillaceae bacterium. Its description in RNAcentral is "tRNA-Arg". It matches the Rfam family "tRNA". From Rfam's summary of the family: Transfer RNA (tRNA) molecules are approximately 80 nucleotides in length. Their secondary structure includes four short double-helical elements and three loops (D, anti-codon, and T loops). Further hydrogen bonds mediate the characteristic L-shaped molecular structure. tRNAs have two regions of fundamental functional importance: the anti-codon, which is responsible for specific mRNA codon recognition, and the 3' end, to which the tRNAs corresponding amino acid is attached (by aminoacyl-tRNA synthetases). tRNAs cope with the degeneracy of the genetic code in two manners: having more than one tRNA (with a specific anti-codon) for a particular amino acid; and 'wobble' base-pairing, i.e. permitting non-standard base-pairing at the 3rd anti-codon position. The record is from RNAcentral. Lineage: Bacteria; Pseudomonadati; Pseudomonadota; Alphaproteobacteria; Rhodospirillales; Rhodospirillaceae.